This 1271-nucleotide long non-coding RNA is filed under the name Monodelphis domestica (gray short-tailed opossum). RNAcentral's name for it is "lncRNA (ENSMODG00000044516.1)". Lineage: Eukaryota; Metazoa; Chordata; Mammalia; Didelphimorphia; Didelphidae. The record is from RNAcentral.
GUCUCAAUUGCCUUAUAGUCUCCAUUGGUUGGAGUAUUAGGCAGGAAUGAGGCAAUCUGGGUUCAAGCUUCCUUUUAGCUUUGGACAGUGUUUUUCUAAACCUCCAAAGGAUUCUAAGAUGCAUUUUCUUUUCUCUACAUCUCUGAAUUUAGAUUUCCCAAUAUGGAUCUUCACCUGGCACCCACCAUCCAGCUAUAACUGGUUUGGCAGCAGGGCCAGAGUAGCUGUUCUAACAGGUGGUGGCAGAAGUAACCAGACCCAGAGUCCCUGAUCAUCGCAUUGGAACUCCCCGGUUGAUCCUUUGAUAUCAGACUACAAGAGGACAAAACAGUGACACAGGACACUUCCUGUCCCAAAUGGGACCAUGAUAUAGGACACCUGAAACAACAAGCAGACAAAAAGUUUAACAGAGCUGCUUCAAGAACGCUGGGCCACUGGCUGCCCCGUGAUCUUCAGGAACUCUAUUUUGUCCUAAUCCAAAAGCUUUUCAGGAGGAGGGGGAUGAGCAGAACCAGGAGACAGAUCCUGAAGGAAGUCCAGAUGUGUGAAUGAGUCUUAGUGCCAAGGUCUUGGGCCUUAAAGGAACAUAAGCAUCUCCAGGUAUGUAUGAAAGGAAAUGAGAAUGGAAAUGGUGGUUCCAAGAACUAAUGAGCUUGGACUUUUCCAGGUUUCCAUCACUCACUGCCAUUGAAGAUAGUUUUAUUGUUGUCAUUUUUCAGUUGUGUCCAACUCUUUCAUUUCCCCAUUUGUGGUUUUCUUGGCAAAGAGCCAAUGGAGUAGUUUGAUAUUUCCUCCUCCAGUUAAUUUUACAGAUGAGGAAACUGAGGCAGACAGGUUUAAGUGAGUUGCCUAGGGUCACACAGUAAGUGUUUGGAUGAGGCUGGAUUUGAACUCUGUGCCACCUAGCUGCCCAUGGAGAUAUCACUUACACCAUAUGAGCUGAGUAGGAAGAUCUGGUAAAAGGUCCAUCUGGCUGAGAUUUUGAGCCUUUCCCAGAUGCUAGAUUUGUUUAGCAGACCCCGGGUGGGUGGAUAAGGGGAAUAACUUCUUAUGAGAAAAGAUACUUGGAAAUGAGGACCUAACUUGCCAGAGAAAAAUCAAGCAGAGGUGCAUUUUUUUUUAAACCCUUACCUUCCAUCUUGGAGUCAAUACUGUGCAUUGGUUCCAAGGCAGAAGAAUGGUAAAGGCUAGGCAAUGGGGGUCAAGUGACUUGCCCAGGGUCACACAGCUGGGAAGUGUCUGAGGCCAGAUUUGAACCUAGGACCUCCCAU